This 232-nucleotide ribosomal RNA is filed under the name uncultured Enterobacterales bacterium. RNAcentral describes it as "partial 16S ribosomal RNA". It matches the Rfam family "Bacterial small subunit ribosomal RNA", at positions 99 to 334 of the family's 1533-position model. Lineage: Bacteria; Pseudomonadati; Pseudomonadota; Gammaproteobacteria; Enterobacterales. The record is from RNAcentral.
CGGACGGGUGAGUAAUGUCUGGGAAACUGCCUGAUGGAGGGGGAUAACUACUGGAAACGGUAGCUAAUACCGCAUAACGUCGCAAGACCAAAGAGGGGGACCUUCGGGCCUCUUGCCAUCAGAUGUGCCCAGAUGGGAUUAGCUAGUAGGUGGGGUAACGGCUCACCUAGGCGACGAUCCCUAGCUGGCCUGAGAGGAUGACCAGCCACACUGGAACUGAGACACGGUCCAG